Molecule: long non-coding RNA, 320 nt
Filed under: Phoenix dactylifera (date palm)
Lineage: Eukaryota; Viridiplantae; Streptophyta; Magnoliopsida; Arecales; Arecaceae
Description: long non-coding RNA (PDAC_LNC008775)
Source: RNAcentral
AGCCCGGAUUAGCUCCAAUUCCAGUGGUCUGCAAGGUGUCCACAAGUCCUCUCAGCCCCGUACGCGUCUUCUUCGCAUCCAGCAUCAUCCUCCCAGCCAUGCACAUCCAUUCCGUGUUCAUCUUCCAUGUCACCUUCUCCCAGAUUCCAUCGACAUCGUCCGCAAUCCUAAUUUCCUCCCAGGCCAAUUCUCAUACGAUUCAUCUCUAUCCCAUGGACAGCUUCCGGAUCAGCUCUCAUCCUCUUCCGGAUAACCUUUUUCUCCCACGAAUCAAUCUUCUUUCGAAUCCCCUAUUUUCCACGUCAUUCCGGAUGAACUCC